AAGUGCAGGGAAAGGAGAUCGGGCGAUAUAGGAGGGAGGUGCGAAGUGGGACGGGAACCACGACUUCUGGGCCACUUUGGGGCAGAAUCGUAUUCUCCCUUGAGACGGUCACCUGGGUGGACAGGUGCGUGGACGGGUCUAUGCUUUCGCCCACGUUCUCAUCCACCUGCGCUGCCUCGGUCACCCCAGGAAAAGACGCUGAGACGCCGCGGUUACAGCAGUCGGAGCUCCUGGGGCGGCGGUGAGGGGCUCCACUACUUGGCUUGGGCCGCAGCGAGAGCCCGGUUGUCCCCGCGGGCUCCUGGGGCCCGCGGGACCGCGGCGGGUGCGGGUGCGGGUGCGGGUGCCGGCCUCCCGCCUGGGUCCCCCGCCCUGCUCGCCGCCCCGGGUCACGCGGAGGGGCCCCGGGGUCGGGUGGUCGGGCCCGGGCCGGGCUGCGGCGCUCGCCCCCUACCGCCGGGAGGCCGGGGGGUCCGGGGACCCGCAGCGCCGCGCCCCGGGGCUCAGCAGCUCGGCGGGGGCGGGGGGCGCGGGGGGCGCGGGGGGCGCGGGGGGCGCGGCGCCCGGGAGCCGGAGCCCGAGCCCCCAGCCCGAACCCCGGUCCCGACCCGAGCCCCUGCCCCAGCCGCAGCCCCGAGCUCCAGCCCGAGCCCCCAGCCCCAGCUCCGACCCGAGCCCCCAGCACGAGCCCCUGCCCCAGCUCGAGCUGCAGCCCGAGCCCCAGCCCCAGCCCCAGCCCGAGCCCGAGCCCCCAGCCCCCAGCCCCCAGCCCCAGCUCCGGCCCUAGCCUUCGAGCCCCUGCCCCCAGCCCCAGCUCCCCUGGUCCCGACCCGAGCCCCUGUCCGAGCCCCGAGCCCCGGCCCCAGUCCCGGCCGGAGCCCCGAGCCCCGAGCCCCGAGCCCCGAGCCCCCAGCUCGAGCCCCCGCCCCAGCCCGAGCCCGAGCCCGAGCCGCAGCCGCAGCCUCGGUCCCCCGGCCCCAGUGCCCCCGCCCCGGGUCCCCGAGCCCCGGCCCGAGCGCAGCCGCGGCGGGCGGUCCGAGGCGGCGGCGGCGGCGGCGGGCGGUCCGCCGGGCGCCCCGCCUCCCUGCUCCGCCCUCCGCGCCCGCCGCCUGCGCCGCCCGCCCGCUCCCGGCUCGCCGCUCGCUCUCGGGCCCCCCAUGCGGAUGUGACAUUUCACGCCGCCGCCAUUUUGAGAGCGAGCCGAGCCGAGCCGAGCCGCCGGGCGCCGCGUCCGCUGCCGGAGCCCCGACGCCGCCGAGGAGGCGGAGGCCGCAGCGCCCCGAGCGCGGCCCGCCCGCCGCCGCCGCCGCCGCCGCCUCCGCCCCCGCCCGCCGCCGCCGCCCCGGCCCCGGCCCCGGCCCCGCAGGCCCGCCGCGGCCGCCCGGGCCUCCUCCUCCGCCGCCGCCUCCGCCUCCACCGCCGCCGCCGCCCGCCGCCGGCCCGAGGCGGGGCUGA
RNAcentral lists this long non-coding RNA (1455 nucleotides) under Canis lupus familiaris (dog). RNAcentral's name for it is "lncRNA (ENSCAFG00030009188.1)". Lineage: Eukaryota; Metazoa; Chordata; Mammalia; Carnivora; Canidae. The record is from RNAcentral.